GUCCAUGUAGCUCAGGGGAUAGAGCACGUGCCUUCUAAGCAUGUGGUCGGGGGUUCGAUUCCCUCCAUGGACGCCA
RNAcentral lists this transfer RNA (76 nucleotides) under Erysipelothrix sp. Its description in RNAcentral is "tRNA-Arg". It matches the Rfam family "tRNA". Rfam says of the family: Transfer RNA (tRNA) molecules are approximately 80 nucleotides in length. Their secondary structure includes four short double-helical elements and three loops (D, anti-codon, and T loops). Lineage: Bacteria; Bacillati; Bacillota; Erysipelotrichia; Erysipelotrichales; Erysipelotrichaceae. The record is from RNAcentral.